This 468-nucleotide ribosomal RNA is filed under the name uncultured bacterium. Its description in RNAcentral is "partial 16S ribosomal RNA". It matches the Rfam family "Bacterial small subunit ribosomal RNA", at positions 28 to 507 of the family's 1533-position model. The record is from RNAcentral.
GACGAACGCUGGCGGCGUGCUUAACACAUGCAAGUCGAACGGAAAGGCCCUGCUUUUGUGGGGUGCUCGAGUGGCGAACGGGUGAGUAACACGUAAGUAACCUGCCCUUGACUUUGGGAUAACUUCAGGAAACUGGGGCUAAUACCGGAUAGGAGCUCCUGCUGCAUGGUGGGGGUUGGAAAGUUUCGGCGGUUGGGGAUGGACUCGCGGCUUAUCAGCUUGUUGGUGGGGUAGUGGCUUACCAAGGCUUUGACGGGUAGCCGGCCUGAGAGGGUGACCGGCCACAUUGGGACUGAGAUACGGCCCAGACUCCUACGGGAGGCAGCAGUGGGGAAUAUUGCACAAUGGGCGGAAGCCUGAUGCAGCAACGCCGCGUGCGGGAUGACGGCCUUCGGGUUGUAAACCGCUUUCGCCUGUGACGAAGCGUGAGUGACGGUAAUGGGUAAAGAAGCGCCGGCUAACUACGUG